Molecule: ribosomal RNA, 492 nt
Filed under: uncultured bacterium
Lineage: Bacteria
Description: partial 16S ribosomal RNA
Rfam family: Bacterial small subunit ribosomal RNA
Source: RNAcentral
AGUGAACGCUGGCGGUAGGCCUAACACAUGCAAGUCGAACGGCAGCACAGUAAGAGCUUGCUCUUACGGGUGGCGAGUGGCGGACGGGUGAGGAAUACAUCGGAAUCUACUUUUUCGUGGGGGAUAACGUAGGGAAACUUACGCUAAUACCGCAUACGACCUACGGGUGAAAGCAGGGGAUCUUCGGACCUUGCGCGAUUGAAUGAGCCGAUGUCGGAUUAGCUAGUUGGCGGGGUAAAGGCCCACCAAGGCGACGAUCCGUAGCUGGUCUGAGAGGAUGAUCAGCCACACUGGAACUGAGACACGGUCCGGACUCCUACGGGAGGCAGCCGUGGGGAAUAUUGGACAAUGGGCGCAAGCCUGAUCCAGCCAUACCGCGUGGGUGAAGAAGGCCUUCGGGUUGUAAAGCCCUUUUGUUGGGAAAGAAAAGCAGCAGGUUAAUACCCCGCUGUUCUGACGGUACCCAAAGAAUAAGCACCGGCUAACUUCGUG